RNAcentral lists this ribosomal RNA (1151 nucleotides) under uncultured fungus. RNAcentral's name for it is "eukaryotic LSU rRNA". The stretch from base 531 to 1151 matches the Rfam family "Eukaryotic large subunit ribosomal RNA", at positions 1 to 649 of the family's 3401-position model. Lineage: Eukaryota; Fungi. The record is from RNAcentral.
AAGUCGUAACAAGGUCUCCGUUGGUGAACCAGCGGAGGGAUCAUUACCGAGUUGCAAGACUCCCAACCCUUGUGAACCUACCUGAGUUGCCUCGGCACGGCGCCCCAGGGCGGGGCCUCGGCCUCCUACGGGAGGCGCCUGCCGGCGAUGGCACCAACCAAACUCUGCCUUAAAUUUCUUCUGAGUCGAUAUUAAAUAAGUCAAAACUUUCAGCAACGGAUCUCUUGGUUCUGGCAUCGAUGAAGAACGCAGCGAAAUGCGAUAAGUAAUGUGAAUUGCAGAAUUCAGUGAAUCAUCGAAUCUUUGAACGCACAUUGCGCCCGCCAGUAUUCUGGCGGGCAUGCCUGUUCGAGCGUCUUUUCAACCCUCGGGCCCUAGGGAUUCGUCCCCUGCGGCCCGGCGUUGGGGCCCCGCGGCCGCCGCGGUCCCCUAAAUACAGCGGCGGGCUUCCGUGCUGCCUUGGCGUAGUAGAUACUAUCUCGCCUGCGGCGGUGUGUGAGGCCCUGCCUCCAAAACCCACCAGAAAAGUUGGACCUCGAAUCAGGUAGGAAUACCCGCUGAACUUAAGCAUAUCAAUAAGCGGAGGAAAAGAAACCAACAGGGAUUGCCCUAGUAACGGCGAGUGAAGCGGCAACAGCUCAAAUUUGAAAUCUGGCCCUGUGCCCGAGUUGUAAUUUGCAGAGGAUCGUUGGGCGCGGUAGCUGCUGAGUCCCCUGGAAUGGGGCGCCACAGAGGGUGAGAGCCCCGUACGGCGGCGGACCAAGCCUAUGUAUCGAUCCCUCGACGAGUCGAGUAGUUUGGGAAUGCUGCUCUAAACGGGAGGUAAAUUUCUUCUAAAGCUAAAUAUAGGCCAGGGACCGAUAGCGCACAAGUAGAGUGAUCGAAAGAUGAAAAGCACUUUGAAAAGAGGGUUAAACAGUACGUGAAAUUGCUGAAAGGGAAGCGCUUGUGACCAGACUUGCGCCCGGUUGAUCAUCCAGCGUUCUCGCUGGUGCACUCUGCCGGGCACAGGCCAGCAUCGGUUUCGCCGGGGGGAUAAAAGCUUCGGGAAUGUAGCUCCUUCGGGAGUGUUAUAGCCUGUCGCGGAAUACCCUCGUGGGGACUGAGGUACGCGCUCCGCAAGGAUGCUGGCGUAAUGGUCAUCAGCGACC